UGCUUAGAAACGCUGUUAUUUACGUUGUCGUAAAACGAGGGAAACUUUAUACUGUGAAAACGUUUAUGUUAAGGACGCAACUAAAACAGCACUGAAAAGAAGAUGAGGUCUUAUAAAAGGAAGUUGGGUGCAAGAGCCUAUAGAAAUUACUCUCCAGAGACGUUAGAUAAAGCCGUUAAAUUGGUUUUAACAAAGAAAAUGACCCUGCGAGCAGCAUCUGAAAGGUUAAAUAUUCAUCGAAACACAUUGUGGAACAAAACCAAAGAGAUAAAACAUUCGACCACCUCAAACUCAGAGACAGUCAAACCUAAAAGACAGCAUGGGGGUCAACCUAUUUUUACAAAAGAAGAAGAGGAUACAUUCGUUGCUCAUUCCAUUGCAAUGGCAUCUUAUGGUUUCCCAAUGACAUUACUUGAUUUGCGCUGUGUCGUCAAAUCAUAUCUAGAUCGAACCGGAAGAAAAGUUCCCGUGUUUGUAAAUGGAAACUUUCCUGGGAGAGAGUGAGCCAUGUCAUUUAUGAAGCGGCAUAAGUAUGUUCUCUCCGAACGUGUCGCCAAAAAUAUCACAUAUGCAAGAGCUGCGACUGAUACUGAAGUGAUUGACUCAUAUUUUGAGCAUUUAGAGAAGGAGUUAGAGGGUAUUCCGCCAGAAAAAAUUUGGAAUUACGACGAAACGAACGUCCAGGACGAUCCAGGAAGCAAAGAAGUGUUGGUCAGAAGAGGAGCAAAAUAUCCAGAGCGGAUACAAAAUUGUUCCAAAGCGUGUACUUCGAUUAUGGUCUGUGGGAACGCCGCAGGACAGUUGGCUCCACUAUACGUAAAUUACAAGGCCGAGAACAUGUGGUCGACCUGGACCGAAAAUGGACCUGAAGGAGCCCGCUACAAUCGUACUAAAUCUGUAUGGUUUGAUCACCAAGUGUUUGAGGACUGGUUCAUCAAUCUUAUGCUCCCCAUACUGAAACAACAAGAUGGCCAAAAAGUUCUUAUUGGCGAUAAUUUGAGUUCGCAUAUUAACCUAGAGGUUAUUCGACUCUGCGAAAAGUAUGGGAUAAAAUUUAUCGCACUCCCAUCAAAUGCGACACAUCUACUGCAACCGCUAGAUGUUGCCAUAUUCAGAGUUCUAAAACUGAUUUGGCGUGAAAUUUUGUCAGAUUGGAAGCAAUCAACAUCUGGUAGCCGGUGCACAUCAGUUCCAAAAGAUGAACUGCCUGGUCUGUUAAAGAAAAU
Molecule: long non-coding RNA, 1226 nt
Organism: Schistocerca cancellata (South American locust)
Lineage: Eukaryota; Metazoa; Arthropoda; Insecta; Orthoptera; Acrididae
Exons: 3
Source: RefSeq, a predicted model, not a curated record